This 232-nucleotide ribosomal RNA is filed under the name uncultured bacterium. RNAcentral describes it as "partial 16S ribosomal RNA". It matches the Rfam family "Bacterial small subunit ribosomal RNA", at positions 99 to 334 of the family's 1533-position model. The record is from RNAcentral.
CGGACGGGUGAGUAAUGUCUGGGAAACUGCCCGAUGGAGGGGGAUAACUACUGGAAACGGUAGCUAAUACCGCAUAACGUCGCAAGACCGAAGGGGGGGACCUCCGGGCCUCUUGCCAUCGGAUGUGCCCAGAUGGGAUUAGCUAGUAGGUGGGGUAACGGCUCACCUAGGCGACGAUCCCUAGCUGGUCUGAGAGGAUGACCAGCCACACUGGAACUGAGACACGGUCCAG